UCGAGAAUCUUUCGCAAUGGGGGAAACCCUGACGACGCGACGCCGCGUGGAGGAUGAAGGCCUUCGGGUUGUAAACUCCUGUCAGCAGGGGAGAACAAGCUUUUGAUGCAUAAUUGAGAGCUUUGACAGUACCUGCAGAGGAAGCCACGGCUAACUCUGUGCCAGCAGCCGCGGUAAUACAGAGGUGGCAAGCGUUGUUCGGAUUUAUUGGGCGUAAAGGGUCCGUAGGCGGCCUGAAAAGUCGGAUGUGAAAUCCCACGGCUUAACUGUGGAACUGCAUUCGAAACUUUCAGGCUUGAGUGUGAGAGGGGUAAAGGGAAUUCCCGGUGUAAGGGUGAAAUCUGCAGAGAUCGGGAGGAACACCAGUCGCGAAGGCGCUUUACUGGAUCACUACUGACGCUGAGGGACGAAAGCCAGGGGAGCAAACG
This 428-nucleotide ribosomal RNA is filed under the name uncultured prokaryote. Its description in RNAcentral is "bacterial SSU rRNA". It matches the Rfam family "Bacterial small subunit ribosomal RNA", at positions 355 to 774 of the family's 1533-position model. The record is from RNAcentral.